This 405-nucleotide ribosomal RNA is filed under the name uncultured bacterium. RNAcentral's name for it is "partial 16S ribosomal RNA". It matches the Rfam family "Bacterial small subunit ribosomal RNA", at positions 30 to 525 of the family's 1533-position model. The record is from RNAcentral.
AUUGAACGCUGGCGGCAGGCCUAACACAUGCAAGUCGAACGAGUGGCGGACGGGUGAGUAAUGUCUGGGAAACUGCCUGAUGGAGGGGGAUAACUACUGGAAACGGUAGCUAAUACCGCAUACAAUCAGAUGUGCCCAGAUGGGAUUAGCUAGUUGGGGGGGUAACGGCUCACCAAGGUGACGAUCCCGAGCGGGUCUGAGAGGCUGACCAGCCCCACUGGAACUGAGACACGGCCCAGCCUCCUACGGGAGGAAGCUGGGGGGACUAUUGCACAAUGUGCGCAAGCCUGACGCAGCCAUGCCGCGUGUAUGAAGAUGGCCUUCGGGUUGUAAAGUACUUUCAGCGGGGAGGCGUUACCCGCAGAAGAAGCACCGGCUAACUCCGUGCCAGCAGCCGCGGUAAUU